UGCCAGCCGCCGCGGUAAUACGGAAGGUGCGAGCGUUAAUCGGAAUCACUGGGCGUAAAGCGCGCGUAGGCGGUUACGUAAGUCGGAUGUGAAAGCCCUGGGCUUAACCUGGGAACUGCAUUCGAUACUGCGUGACUAGAGUAUGGGAGAGGGUAGCGGAAUUCCGGGUGUAGCGGUGAAAUGCGUAGAUAUCCGGAGGAACAUCAGUGGCGAAGGCGGCUACCUGGGCCAAUACUGACGCUGAGGUGCGAAAGCGUGGGGAGCAAACAGGAUUAGAUA
This 279-nucleotide ribosomal RNA is filed under the name uncultured bacterium. RNAcentral describes it as "partial 16S ribosomal RNA". It matches the Rfam family "Bacterial small subunit ribosomal RNA", at positions 506 to 784 of the family's 1533-position model. The record is from RNAcentral.